This 101-nucleotide transfer RNA is filed under the name candidate division MSBL1 archaeon SCGC-AAA259O05. Its description in RNAcentral is "candidate divison MSBL1 archaeon SCGC-AAA259O05 tRNA". It matches the Rfam family "tRNA". Rfam says of the family: Transfer RNA (tRNA) molecules are approximately 80 nucleotides in length. Their secondary structure includes four short double-helical elements and three loops (D, anti-codon, and T loops). Lineage: Archaea; Methanobacteriati; Methanobacteriota. The record is from Rfam by way of RNAcentral.
GCGGGCGUAGUGUUAGGUCGGUUCAACACACCUCCCUUCCAUGGAAAAUAUCCGCUUCCCGAAGACAGGAGGUACCGACGGUUCAAAUCCGUUCGCCCGCA